Molecule: long non-coding RNA, 1526 nt
Filed under: Gallus gallus (chicken)
Lineage: Eukaryota; Metazoa; Chordata; Aves; Galliformes; Phasianidae
Description: long non-coding RNA NONGGAT001600
Source: RNAcentral
CAGCAACAGACAUUGUUUACCAAAUUACUGACACUGCAACAUUAGAUGAUCAAACCAGCAAUCAUUAGUGUGCGCGCAGUUAACCAUCCGUUUAACCACUGGUUCUACCAGAGGGACACAGCGUGGUUUGAGACUACCCAGUGCUAAACUGCAGACACAACAGAGCAAUCGGGUAUUAAAAUGUCUGGUAACGCAAAACUUUUUUCCCAGCUUGUAUUAGGACAGAAGAGACGUAACCUCUCAUAGUGUUGUUGCACGCAUAAAGAAACGUGGGGUUUUCAAAUUAUUUUCUGCAGAACGAAUUCUUCCAACAGCUCUACAGCAGCCUUCAACAAAUCUCUUCGUGCCUGGUGCUAAAUACAGCGCUGUCUCACCGGCCCACGUGCACCCUUCCAGGGCUGUAUUCAGCAGGGUGGCAUCCAAAUACCGCAUCGCUAUCAUUUAAAAACAGAUUUGCUGUUUAUUAGUGCAAUACACAGAUCCAGCUUUGGGAAAAGAAAUCCUCUUUCCUUAUCCACCUUCAACACCUGCUGCUGUGGCAAACGGAAGCCUCUUUAAUAUACCAUCAGCAUCAGCUAAACAGAGCUAAUGAAAGGCUAUAAAGCGAGGGCCAGGCUGCGGCCCCAGCCGUAUGUCGCCACAUGUUCCGCACUUUAAUCGUUAUUACCGCUGAAGCUGCAGGGAGGGACCGAGCCCUCUCCGCAGGAUGCGGCUGCGGCGGAUGGAAGAGGCGUUCGGCCCCCACGCACCGCGACUCGGCAGCGCUGCUCGCCGACCGCCCGGGCUCCACAGGUCGCGGGGCUCCCGGCCGCUGCGGCACCGCAGCCUGAGCGCGGGGAGGGCCGCCCCCGCAGGGCUCCGCUUACCGAUGCGCCGCACGUAGUGUUUUGCAGGAAGUUUCCACGCUCCCCAGUUUAAUCCGCGCGAGGGGGGUUGGUUGGAGGGGAGCUCGGCUGAUCGGCGAUGGAAGGGGGCGGGCGGCGAGGAGGCGGCGGCGGCAGCGACCGCGUUUAAUUUUUUAACGAGGGCGGCUCGACAGUUCCCGGCGGGGUCGCAGCGCCGGGCGGCGAGGGGAAGCGCGGCCGAGCCGCCCCCGCCGCCCGGGACCCCGCGCAGCCCCAGGGGCCGGAGCCGAGCCAGCCGUCGGGGCUCCCACCUGGGCUUCGGCCAGCCGUGCCCGGAGCUCCGCCGUCCGCCACCAUGGGCAACGCGGAGGAGACGGGUCGGUAGCGCGGGCGGUUCGGCGGGGCCGGGCGGGGCGGCGGGGCUGUGCCGGUGGCCGAGAGCCCCGGGCUGCGGGCGGCGGCCCGGGGGGAACGCGGAGCCGGAGAAAGUAGGGGCUGCGCAUGCAGCGGCGUGGCAACGAUUGCUCGGCGGGUGCUCGGUGUCCUGCAGUUCUCGUAGCCUGCAUGCCUCAGGGAAACAGGCAAAGAAGGAACAGAGGUGAAAAUCCCACAGAGUCACCAAGAUGUGAUGUCCAAUGAUGAGCAGUAAUUACUGCGGCAACACUUCAGCCAGCAUGAGCG